UUAAGCGACUAAGCGUACACGGUGGAUGCCCUGGCAGUCAGAGGCGAUGAAGGACGUGCUAAUCUGCGAAAAGCGUCGGUAAGGUGAUAUGAACCGUUAUAACCGGCGAUGUCCGAAUGGGGAAACCCAGUGCAAUUCGUUGCACUAUCGUUAACUGAAUACAUAGGUUAACGAGGCGAACCGGGGGAACUGAAACAUCUAAGUACCCCGAGGAAAAGAAAUCAACCGAGAUUCCCCCAGUAGCGGCGAGCGAACGGGGAGCAGCCCAGAGUCUGAAUCAGCUUGUGUGUUAGUGGAACGGUCUGGAAAGUCCGACGGUACAGGGUGAUAGUCCCGUACACCAAAAUGCACAGGUUGUGAACUCGAAGAGUAGGGCGGGACACGUGGUAUCCUGUCUGAAUAUGGGGGGACCAUCCUCCAAGGCUAAAUACUCCUGACUGACCGAUAGUGAACCAGUACCGUGAGGGAAAGGCGAAAAGAACCCCGGCGAGGGGAGUGAAAAAGAACCUGAAACCGUGUACGUACAAGCAGUGGGAGCACCUUCGGGUGUGACUGCGUACCUUUUGUAUAAUGGGUCAGCGACUUAUAUUCUGUAGCAAGGUUAACCGUAUAGGGGAGCCGCAGGGAAACCGAGUCUUAACUGGGCGUUAAGUUGCAGGGUAUAGACCCGAAACCCGGUGAUCUAGCCAUGGGCAGGUUGAAGGUUGGGUAACACUAACUGGAGGACCGAACCGACUAAUGUUGAAAAAUUAGCGGAUGACUUGUGGCUGGGGGUGAAAGGCCAAUCAAACCGGGAGAUAGCUGGUUCUCCCCGAAAGCUAUUUAGGUAGCGCCUCGUGAAUUCAUCUUCGGGGGUAGAGCACUGUUUCGGCUAGGGGGUCAUCCCGACUUACCAACCCGAUGCAAACUACGAAUACCGAAGAAUGUUAUCACGGGAGACACACGGCGGGUGCUAACGUCCGUCGUGAAGAGGGAAACAACCCAGACCGCCAGCUAAGGUCCCAAAGUCAUGGUUAAGUGGGAAACGAUGUGGGAAGGCACAGACAGCCAGGAUGUUGGCUUAGAAGCAGCCAUCAUUUAAAGAAAGCGUAAUAGCUCACUGGUCGAGUCGGCCUGCGCGGAAGAUGUAACGGGGCUAAACCAUGCACCGAAGCUGCGGCAGCGACACUAUGUGUUGUUGGGUAGGGGAGCGUUCUGUAAGCCUGCGAAGGUGACCUGUGAGGGUUGCUGGAGGUAUCAGAAGUGCGAAUGCUGACAUAAGUAACGAUAAAGCGGGUGAAAAGCCCGCUCGCCGGAAGACCAAGGGUUCCUGUCCAACGUUAAUCGGGGCAGGGUGAGUCGACCCCUAAGGCGAGGCCGAAAGGCGUAGUCGAUGGGAAACAGGUUAAUAUUCCUGUACUUGGUGUUACUGCGAAGGGGGGACGGAGAAGGCUAUGUUAGCCGGGCGACGGUUGUCCCGGUUUAAGCAUGUAGGCUGGUUAUCCAGGCAAAUCCGGAUAAUCAAGGCUGAGGUGUGAUGACGAGGCACUACGGUGCUGAAGUAACAAAUGCCCUGCUUCCAGGAAAAGCCUCUAAGCAUCAGGUAACAUCAAAUCGUACCCCAAACCGACACAGGUGGUCAGGUAGAGAAUACCAAGGCGCUUGAGAGAACUCGGGUGAAGGAACUAGGCAAAAUGGUGCCGUAACUUCGGGAGAAGGCACGCUGGUGUGUAGGUGAAGCCCCUGCGGGUGGAGCUGAGACCAGUCGAAGAUACCAGCUGGCUGCAACUGUUUAUUAAAAACACAGCACUGUGCAAACACGAAAGUGGACGUAUACGGUGUGACGCCUGCCCGGUGCCGGAAGGUUAAUUGAUGGGGUUAUCCGUAAGGAGAAGCUCUUGAUCGAAGCCCCGGUAAACGGCGGCCGUAACUAUAACGGUCCUAAGGUAGCGAAAUUCCUUGUCGGGUAAGUUCCGACCUGCACGAAUGGCGUAAUGAUGGCCAGGCUGUCUCCACCCGAGACUCAGUGAAAUUGAACUCGCUGUGAAGAUGCAGUGUACCCGCGGCAAGACGGAAAGACCCCGUGAACCUUUACUAUAGCUUGACACUGAACAUUGAGCCUUGAUGUGUAGGAUAGGUGGGAGGCUUUGAAGCGUGGACGCCAGUCUGCGUGGAGCCAACCUUGAAAUACCACCCUUUAAUGUUUGAUGUUCUAACGUUGGCCCCUGACCGGGGUUGCGGACAGUGUCUGGUGGGUAGUUUGACUGGGGCGGUCUCCUCCCAAAGCGUAACGGAGGAGCACGAAGGUUAGCUAAUCCUGGUCGGACAUCAGGAGGUUAGUGCAAUGGCAUAAGCUAGCUUGACUGCGAGCGUGACGGCGCGAGCAGGUGCGAAAGCAGGUCAUAGUGAUCCGGUGGUUCUGAAUGGAAGGGCCAUCGCUCAACGGAUAAAAGGUACUCCGGGGAUAACAGGCUGAUACCGCCCAAGAGUUCAUAUCGACGGCGGUGUUUGGCACCUCGAUGUCGGCUCAUCACAUCCUGGGGCUGAAGUAGGUCCCAAGGGUAUGGCUGUUCGCCAUUUAAAGUGGUACGCGAGCUGGGUUUAGAACGUCGUGAGACAGUUCGGUCCCUAUCUGCCGUGGGCGCUGGAGAAUUGAGGGGGGCUGCUCCUAGUACGAGAGGACCGGAGUGGACGCAUCACUGGUGUUCGGGUUGUCAUGCCAAUGGCACUGCCCGGUAGCUAAAUGCGGAAGAGAUAAGUGCUGAAAGCAUCUAAGCACGAAACUUGCCCCGAGAUGAGUUCUCCCUGAGACUUUAAGUCUCCUGAAGGAACGUUAAAGACGAUGACGUUGAUAGGCCGGGUGUGUAAGCGCAGCGAUGCGUUGAGCUAACCGGUACUAAUGAACCGUGAGGCUUAACCU
Molecule: ribosomal RNA, 2899 nt
Filed under: Klebsiella pneumoniae
Lineage: Bacteria; Pseudomonadati; Pseudomonadota; Gammaproteobacteria; Enterobacterales; Enterobacteriaceae
Description: 23S ribosomal RNA
Rfam family: Bacterial large subunit ribosomal RNA
Source: RNAcentral